AGUCUGACAUGAGAGUGAAGUAUCCACAGCUCUUUGGGGAGUUGAGUACUUGAAUUUCGGGACGAAAUUCCUUUAAGGGGGGUAGAUUGUAAUAACCUCAUCUUCCACUUACUAGUUAUUGAAUUUUCUGGUUUUAUCACAAAUUUAUAGUGGCAAAUACUUUGUUUAAAAAAAUUGAGGUGUGCUCUUUGUGUUUCAAGCAUUAAGAGAGGUAGUGCGACACUAGUUGUAUUUUACUCUACAUGUUGAUAGAUGGUGGUGUACCAGCUCCAGAAGAAAAGAAAGAAAAUCUCUCACUCUCUCCCUCUCUGCCGAAACCAGCAACCAAAACAGAGCAUUCCUUCUCCAAGCUUGUUCUCGCUCCACAGGCCUUUGAAUCGACCCAGACCACGUUCCACAGCUUCGCCUCUUCCUUUCGCAGCUGCCGGUAACAGCCUUUCGCCGUCUCGUGGGCCGUACACGGCGGUGGAGCACGAGGCCGGUUUACCCCCGUUUUGAUUUCAAGCUUGAUAUCUCAAGUUACCAUUCACCACUCCUCACCAAACUCCAUCCACAAGCUCACCUCAACGUCCUGAAGCUCCCAGAAGUGGCCUUGCACGGCGGCGCUACUCGUGGUGGCGGCUGGAAGCCAGACCCGAUCAAAUCGAAAACCAAAGCUUCGAUCGACAUAUCUCGCGCUACAGGAUGUUGUUUUGAGUGUUUCUUGAACUGGUGAACUCAGAGUGAGGAUCUGAACAACUUUCCAGAAGGUAUCGAGGCCUGAAGUUGCAGUUUUUACGUCGAACUAGGAGCUCACCGGUUUCUGGGUUUUUUCCGGCCAACCCGACUGGUUUGAGGUGAUCGACAGUUUGAUUUGGUGGACGAUUCGUGAAAGUGUAUUUUGAGCUGUUAAGAAGACGCAGCGGGAAUUUAGAGCGGGAAAUCCUACAGGUCAGGAGAACCAGGACGGUGAUCGGGCUGCUUAGAGUAGUGUUAUGUGAAUUACAGCAUUAUAUUGUGAGGUUUGUUAUGCUCAUUUAGAGCUUUGCAAUUUUACUUUGUAAGAGUGAAUUGUAAUAAUUAACUCGAGGUUUUCGAGUUUUUGUGUUGAGUGGCGAGUGGUGUGUUUGUUUGUGAGAAAAAAAUUCAGAACGUUAUUUGUAUUAAUUGUUUAUUCAUGUUUCGGAUUUGAAUUGGUUAUUCAAAAUUCGGGGC
Rosa rugosa (rugosa rose) is the source of this 1194-nucleotide long non-coding RNA. RefSeq lists it as uncharacterized. The transcript has 3 exons. The record is from RefSeq and is a predicted model, not a curated record. Lineage: Eukaryota; Viridiplantae; Streptophyta; Magnoliopsida; Rosales; Rosaceae.